This 1480-nucleotide ribosomal RNA is filed under the name metagenome. Its description in RNAcentral is "bacterial SSU rRNA". It matches the Rfam family "Bacterial small subunit ribosomal RNA". The record is from RNAcentral.
AGAGUUUGAUCCUGGCUCAGGAUGAACGCUAGCGGCAGGCCUAACACAUGCAAGUCGAGGGGUAAUCCCGCUUUCGGGCGGGAACGACCGGCGCACGGGUGAGUAACGCGUAUGCAACCUACCUUUAACAGGGGGAUAGCCCGAAGAAAUUCGGAUUAAUACCCCAUAAUACUAUGAAUAAGCAUUUAUUUAUAUUAAAAACUCCGGUGGUUAAAGAUGGGCAUGCGUAACAUUAGAUAGUUGGUGAGGUAACGGCUCACCAAGUCUACGAUGUUUAGGGGGCCUGAGAGGGUGGUCCCCCACACUGGUACUGAGACACGGACCAGUCUCCUACGGGAGGCAGCAGUGAGGAAUAUUGCGCAAUGGAGGAAACUCUGACGCAGCCAUGCCGCGUGCAGGAUGACGGCCCUACGGGUUGUAAACUGCUUUUAUACAGGAAGAAUUUUCCGCACGUGUGCGGGAUUGACGGUACUGUACGAAUAAGCACCGGCUAACUCCGUGCCAGCAGCCGCGGUAAUACGGAGGGUGCAAGCGUUAUCCGGAUUUAUUGGGUUUAAAGGGUGCGUAGGCGGGAUAAUAAGUCAGUGGUGAAAUACUGCAGCUCAACUGUAGAACUGCCAUUGAUACUGUUAUUCUUGAGUUCGAUUGAGGUAGGCGGAAUGUGUAAUGUAGCGGUGAAAUGCUUAGAUAUUACACAGAACACCGAUUGCGUAGGCAGCUUACUAAGUCGACACUGACGCUGAGGCACGAAAGCGUGGGGAGCGAACAGGAUUAGAUACCCUGGUAGUCCACGCUGUAAACUAUGAUCACUAGCUGUUGGCGAUACAUCGAUCAGCGGCAAAGCGAAAGCAUUAAGUGAUCCACCUGGGGAGUACGGUCGCAAGAUUGAAACUCAAAGGAAUUGACGGGGGCCCGCACAAGCGGUGGAACAUGUGGUUUAAUUCGAUGAUACGCGAGGAACCUUACCUGGGCUUAAAUGCAGAUUGACGUUUCGGGAAACCGGAAUUCUCUUCGGAGCGAUUUGCAAGGUGCUGCAUGGUUGUCGUCAGCUCGUGCCGUGAGGUGUCGGGUUAAGUCCCAUAACGAGCGCAACCCCUAUCGUUAGUUGCCAGCGGAUAAUGCCGGGGACUCUAACGAAACUGCCGGUGUAAACCGAGAGGAAGGUGGGGAUGACGUCAAAUCAGCACGGCCCUUAUGUCCAGGGCUACACACGUGUUACAAUGGUCGGUACAGAGGGCAGCUACCUGGUGACAGGAUGCUAAUCUCGAAAGCCGGUCUUAGUUCGGAUCGAAGUCUGCAACUCGACUUCGUGAAGCUGGAAUCGCUAGUAAUCGCGUAUCAGCAACGACGCGGUGAAUACGUUCCCGGGCCUUGUACACACCGCCCGUCAAGCCAUGGAAGCUGGGGGUACCUGAAGUCUGUAACCGCAAGGAGCGGCCUAGGGUAAAACUAGUGACUGGGGCUAAGUCGGAACAAGGUA